UCAGUCAGAGAAGUAAGGCCACCAGCCGGCUCACAAGAAAAACGUCCACUCCUGAAAAAUGAAAGCAUUUUUAUUCAUUGCUGUAUUAAUGGAGAUUUGAGGCUUUAUGCUACACUGUACAAACAGAGGUGUGAACUCAAAUGGAGUAUCUGGAUUAUUUUCAGGACUAUCUCUGUGCUUCAGGAGAAGAAAAAGAAAACAUGUAAAAAUAGGGCUGUCAGGAAAUUAUUCAGGACAGAUUUACUGUUAUAAAACAUCUUCUCUACAUUAGACAGUAACAGUUGAGUUGCUUGAAUAAAACUGAUAUAUUCCAGAUAAAAAUUUCAUAGUAGUCAAAUGAUUAAAUGUCUGGGAAAGUUAUAAAAAAUAUUGAUAAUUAUUUCAUCACUCUUAAAAAUAAUGACUUAUUCCUGUUAUUGCCUAUUAAAAACAUUUCUUGAGGAAUAUGGUGUUACCAAAAUAUACUUUUUUUUAACACUGUUAAUACAGUUUAGCAAUUAUGUUCAAACUCAUCACAGUCCUCUGGUUAAUACCUUAAUAAACAACAAGGGACUUAAAUAGCAGACCAUUUUUUAAUUUCACCAUUAGGCAUUAACUGUAAAAACUUAAAAAUUCAUCAAGAAGCUUGCUAUACAACUAAAACAUUUGCACAUUCAAACACAUUAAUCCAUUUUAACAUAUUCUUUUGAUUUGUAAUGGAUUUCAACAUUUUAAUUUUAGAUACAACUCUGAAUCAGAAUGGAAGAAGCAGAAUUUUGAGUUAAUAUUUCCAAAAUAAGUAUUCAGCCUAACCUACUUAAAGCGUGAACAACUGCACUGUGAAGGCCUACCAGAGCCACACUGCCCCCACAGAUGAUGGUACUCUCUCAUGGAAGGUACUAAGGCUGCUGAAUGUUCAUCUCAUUCUUUUUGCUACACCAACCUGGGCCAUUUUAUUAUUCUUUUUCAGUGAUUUAAUCAUCUGUCUUUCUUGACAGAAUUAUUAAAGAGCACUGAAGAAUUA
Long non-coding RNA from Aquila chrysaetos chrysaetos, 1003 nucleotides. RefSeq lists it as uncharacterized. NCBI's taxonomy places the organism in Eukaryota, Metazoa, Chordata, Aves, Accipitriformes, Accipitridae. The transcript has 4 exons. The record is from RefSeq and is a predicted model, not a curated record.